AAUUAAUAAGCUAUGCAAGAGCAUAUAUUUUGAAAAUAUAUAAAAGAAUACUAGAUUCUAUUAAUUU
This 67-nucleotide transfer RNA is filed under the name Ylodes simulans. RNAcentral's name for it is "tRNA-Ser". Lineage: Eukaryota; Metazoa; Arthropoda; Insecta; Trichoptera; Leptoceridae. The record is from RNAcentral.